RNAcentral lists this ribosomal RNA (520 nucleotides) under uncultured Glomus. RNAcentral describes it as "SSU rRNA". It matches the Rfam family "Eukaryotic small subunit ribosomal RNA", at positions 569 to 1089 of the family's 1831-position model. Lineage: Eukaryota; Fungi; Glomeromycota; Glomeromycetes; Glomerales; Glomeraceae. The record is from RNAcentral.
AGCAGCCGCGGUAAUUCCAGCUCCAGUAGCGUAUAUUAAAGUUGUUGCGGUUAAAAAGCUCGUAGUUGAAUUUCGGGAUCGACGGGUCGGUCGCGCCUCUGGUGUGUACUGGCCCUGUCGGUUUCUCCCUUCUGACGAACUGCGAUGUCAUUAAUUUGGUGUCGUAGGGAAUCAGGACUGUUACUUUGAAAAAAUUAGAGUGUUUAAAGCAGGCAUUCGCUUGAAUACAUUAGCAUGGAAUAAUGAAAUAGGACGUUUGAUCUUAUUUUGUUGGUUUCUAAGAUCGACGUAAUGAUUAAUAGGGAUAGUUGGGGGCAUUAGUAUUCAAUUGUCAGAGGUGAAAUUCUUGGAUUUAUUGAAGACUAACUACUGCGAAAGCAUUUGCCAAGGAUGUUUUCAUUAAUCAAGAACGAAAGUUAGGGGAUCGAAGACGAUCAGAUACCGUCGUAGUCUUAACCAUAAACUAUGCCGACUAGGGAUCGGAUGAUGUUAAUUUUUUAAUGUACUCAUUCGGCGCCUU